This 394-nucleotide ribosomal RNA is filed under the name uncultured bacterium. RNAcentral describes it as "bacterial SSU rRNA". It matches the Rfam family "Bacterial small subunit ribosomal RNA", at positions 505 to 898 of the family's 1533-position model. The record is from RNAcentral.
GUGCCAGCAGCCGCGGUAAGACGAACCGUGCGAACGUUGUUCGGAAUCACUGGGCUUAAAGGGCGCGUAGGCGGCUCAUCAAGUCGGGGGUGAAAUACUUCAGCUUAACUGGAGAAGUGCCUUCGAUACUGGUGGGCUUGAGGGAGGUAGGGGUCUUUGGAACUUCUGGUGGAGCGGUGAAAUGCGUUGAUAUCAGAAGGAACGCCGGUGGCGAAAGCGAAGGACUGGACCUCUUCUGACGCUGAGGCGCGAAAGCUAGGGGAGCAAACGGGAUUAGAUACCCCGGUAGUCCUAGCCCUAAACGAUGGGUACUAGAUUGUAGACUUGACAUGGGUUUACAGUCGAAGCAAAAGUGUUAAGUACCCCGCCUGGGGAGUAUGGUCGCAAGGCUGAA